RNAcentral lists this ribosomal RNA (484 nucleotides) under uncultured bacterium. Its description in RNAcentral is "partial 16S ribosomal RNA". It matches the Rfam family "Bacterial small subunit ribosomal RNA", at positions 28 to 507 of the family's 1533-position model. The record is from RNAcentral.
AUUGAACGCUGGCGGCAUGCUUUACACAUGCAAGUCGAACGGCAGCGCGGGCUUCGGCCUGGCGGCGAGUGGCGAACGGGUGAGUAAUGCAUCGGAACGUGCCCAGUAGUGGGGGAUAGCCCGGCGAAAGCCGGAUUAAUACCGCAUACGACCUGAGGGUGAAAGCGGGGGACCGAAAGGCCUCGCGCUAUUGGAGCGGCCGAUGUCGGAUUGGCUAGUUGGUGGGGUAAAGGCUUACCAAGGCGACGGUCCGUAGCUGGUCUGAGAGGACGACCAGCCACACUGGGACUGAGACACGGCCCAGACUCCUACGGGAGGCAGCAGUGGGGAAUUUUGGACAAUGGGGGCAACCCUGAUCCAGCCAUGCCGCGUGCGGGAAGAAGGCCUUCGGGUUGUAAACCGCUUUUGUUCGGGAAGAAAUCCUCUGGGCUAAUACCCCGGGGGGAUGACGGUACCGGAAGAAUAAGCACCGGCUAACUACGUG